This 1119-nucleotide ribosomal RNA is filed under the name Triticum aestivum (bread wheat). Its description in RNAcentral is "partial small subunit ribosomal RNA". Lineage: Eukaryota; Viridiplantae; Streptophyta; Magnoliopsida; Poales; Poaceae. The record is from RNAcentral.
AUGAUCAGGCCAAAAGAGCAGGGCGGGCUUGGCUUCCGGGAUUUUCGGCUUUUCAAUCAAGCCUUGCUUGCCCGACAAGCUUGGCGACUUCUCUCUAACCCUGACAGCUUGUGCGCGCAGGUUCUCAAGGCUCGGUACUAUCUCAAUGGGCGCCUGGAGGAUACAGUCUUCUCCGGCAAUGCGUCUUCGACAUGGCAGUCUAUUGUACACGGCCUCGACCUCCUUAAAAAGGGGUUAAUUUGGUGCAUUGGGGACGGCGCGUCGGUCCGCAUCUGGCGAGAUCAAUGGAUUCCGCACCCGGUUGCACGAGGCCCGAUCUCCCACCAAGGGCACUGUCGACUACGGCGAGUUAGUCAACUCUUGGACGACCAUGGCAAUUGGGACGUACCUCUUCUCCAGCAACACUUCUUGCAUGUGGACGUCAUGGAGAUAUUGAAGAUUAAAACUUCUUCAAGUCAAGCUGGUGAGUUUAUUGCAUGGGCGGCGGAGCGUACUGGUGUCUUCUCGGUGCGGAGUGCAUAUCGUCUCGCCCUCAACGAACGACUCCUAUCAUCGCCGGUCGCAGCGAGCAGGGCACCGGACGGGCGACGUGCCGUCUGGGCACUAAUAUGGAGGUGCCCUGCUCCGCCUAAGGUGCGUAUAUUUGCGUGGAAGCUUGCAUCAAACUCGUUGGCCACUUGGGCUAAUAAAAAGACACGAAACUGGAGAUUACUGAUACAUGUCCACUAUGGCACUCAGUCUCUCCACAUCAAAUGGCAACCUCCAGCCCAUGGUCGUGUAAAAUUAAAUGUUGAUGGGUCCUACUGUGAAGCUUCUAGAAAGGCAGGUGCGGGCAUGGUACUGCACGAUAGUGACGGUGCCAUCAUUUUCUCGGCUUGCAGAAGCCUGGUUAACUGCGCAAAUCCCUUGCAAGCUGAACUUGCAGCCUGCUUGGAGGGCUUAAACUUUGCUAUGCAAUGGUCGCCACUUCCUGUGGAUGUCGAGAUGGAUUGUCUGGUUGCCCUGGACUCGAUUCGGGCACCAGCGGAGGAUAGGUCGCUGCAUCCGAUGAUGAUAAAUGAACUGAAGUCGCUUCUUGCUGAUAGGGAUUGUUCCAUUGCUCAUAUUAGUAGGUGCUAA